CCAACACCCAUCAGUCUCACUGGGUGAGAGCUGCCCGGUGGCAUUAAUCUUCUGUCCAUUCCAAUAGGCAACGUCUACGGAGAGAUCAGGCCCUGGUGGCCACAGAAAGCCUGCAGGCAAGUAAGUGCAGGGGCUGGGCGCUGGCAGUGCGCUGGAGAGCACCGACAGGGAGGAGUGAAGGAACACGGAUGGGCGCCUGUGAUGUCUGCCACUGGGCGUGUCGGCGGCAGCCUGCGUUGGCUUAAGAUGCACUGGAUGGCCUUCCGUCACCGAGUCGACUGCGAUAGACAGCAGCUGGUCACGAGGCAGGAUGCGGGCAGACUGCUAAAUGUAAACUUAAAGGUGAGAGAGAGAAGAUGAGGCAGAAAGAGCUACGAUAAAGCCACAGCAGCAAGACCUGUGGGGUGUGUGCUGUGUUUCAGACCCUUUCCGAAGAGCUUGUCAGGUGCAUACUCGGUGAAUCUCACCGGAGCACUUUGAGGAUCCCACACUUGGCUGGAGUUGGGCAGAGUCCCUUUCUGGCGAAAGUUGCUUGAAUUUUCAGGUUACACGUGCCCCACCGGGACACAGGCCAACCUGAGGGAUAGAUGGAAAGAAGAUGGUCAGCUGUCCAGCCAGGUGGGUCCCAAAGGGAAGGACCAAGUGCAGUGUCAGUUCAGAAGAGCUCUCUGUGCAGCCCUGCAAAUGUGGGAGAAAGCAGCUAUUUCUGCUUUUGUUCAUUUCUCCCAACCUCAGGAAUUUCUUAAUGAAUUAGUUGGAACGUGGAUUAUU
Ailuropoda melanoleuca (giant panda) is the source of this 771-nucleotide long non-coding RNA. RefSeq lists it as uncharacterized. NCBI's taxonomy places the organism in Eukaryota, Metazoa, Chordata, Mammalia, Carnivora, Ursidae. The transcript has 3 exons. The record is from RefSeq and is a predicted model, not a curated record.